RNAcentral lists this ribosomal RNA (468 nucleotides) under uncultured bacterium. RNAcentral's name for it is "partial 16S ribosomal RNA". It matches the Rfam family "Bacterial small subunit ribosomal RNA", at positions 28 to 507 of the family's 1533-position model. The record is from RNAcentral.
GACGAACGCUGGCGGCGUGCUUAACACAUGCAAGUCGAACGGAAAGGCCCUGCUUUUGUGGGGUGCUCGAGUGGCGAACGGGUGAGUAACACGUGAGUAACCUGCCCUUGACUGUGGGAUAACUUCAGGAAACUGGGGCUACUACCGGAUAGGAGCUCCUGCUGCAUGGUGGGGGUUGGACAGUUUCGGCGGUUGGGGAUGGACUCGCGGCUUAUCAGCUUGUUGGUGAGGUAGUGGCUUACCAAGGCUUUGACGGGUAGCCGGCCUGAGAGGGUGGCCGGCCACAUGGGGACUAAGAUACGGCGCAGACUCCAACGGGAGGCAGCAGGGGGGAAUAUUGCACAAUGGGCGGAAGCCUGAUGCAGCAACGCCGCGUGCGGGAUGACGGCCUUCGGGUUGUAAACCGCUUUCGCCUGUGACGAAGCGUGAGUGACGGUAAUGGGUAAAGAAGCACCGGCUAACUACGUG